AACAACAUUACACCUGCACAUUUACCUCUACAGCCACUGCUUAUUAUUGGGGUUUCUUCUUCCUCUGUUUUUUCCAGAUUUCUUUGUAUCUUAAAGUGAUUAAUCUGCUCUGCUCUCCCAGUGUACAUCCUCUUUGUUCCCACAUCUCAAUUGCGCUGCUUCAUUCUUCAACCGUGGUUCCUUCUUCUGAAGCUCUUUUAUUUUAUUAGUCAGCAGGCCCCUUAUUUAUUUAUCGAAGUAGUGAAACCGACAGCACUCCGUCGACAUCCCUGCUUGCCGACAGACAGACCAAAGAUGUCAAAUUUUAAAAAACCUGUGGAUUCAACAUGCUGGAAACAAAAAGGGAAACGUCAAUGCUCUGAAGAAAGAGGCAUCCAAAUUAAACAAGACGUCGCGAAAUGUAUAGGGCGAGGUCGGCUGAAAAAAGAGAACUAAAUUUACCGGAGCGCCGAACGACAUAUCUUCGUUCUAGAAUGAAGAAUCCAACCAGUGAGUCCACUGAAAUAUCACCUUGCUACCAAUUGAAUAGUGAAUUAGCGAGGCAGAGAGCUACUCUAACAGGAGCCUCAUCUUCUACCUUGAGAACAGAAAAAAUCAAGAGUUGCUGCUGAAUUUACUUGGAACAUCAUGAAUGUGAAAAAGACCAAGAUGUGAGGCUCAAAGUUGGAUAUGAAGUUGUUGAAAAGUUAUAUUAAACUGCCUUUGUUUAAUAUGCCUACUCAGUUAUGAGAUGCUGCUACACUCUCUAUGGAAUAUACUAUUAAGGGCCAUGAGACAACUUAACUACCAGAUAGACGAGCUUGUGAGCUCUAAGGUUUUUUAUAUGGAAGGCAGGUUGAAACUCUGCCACAAGCAAGUGAAAGUUGGAUAACAAAGGCUAAAGUGUCCAUGUACUGAGAUUUGAAAAAAGGAGCCAGUUGUAACAACCUGAUUACCUAUUACCUGGUAGUCAACGACAAUGUAUCAAUGCUCUUCUCUUAGGGCUCAAAACAACUAUGUUAAUAGUGGCAAGAGAAAGAUCCAUCACUCAGAUCACCACUUUUCUGAUAGCAAUAGGAGGACGGAGAAUUGAAAUUGAAGAGCUUUAGUAUACAUUGCAGCUGAAAAUGACUAUGGAAACCUUAACAAAUACUAACUCACCAUCAGGAACAGUAAAGCUUCAAAUUUUAUGAAGUGCAUCAGUGAGCUGUCAUUCCGUCUAUAUCAAGAACAAGUAUAUUUCGUUUUAUCAUGUUUGCCUCCUCCACUGACCUUCAACAACAAAAAAAUCCCAAAGACAGAACUUCUUAUGGUUGAAAUCUUACGGCAUGUGCUUAAAUUUGUUCAGCUUCGUGAUAGGACAACUGACAUCCUAAAGCAUUCCUUUCCAGUAACCAAGCCUGAUACAAAAUGUAUUAUCACAUUUGCUAACCAGUCAGGCUAUAUUUCAUUCAGCUAAUUCAAGAAUAUGGAGUUUAUCAACUUCGUAUUUUCUAGCACGUGGAAUGCAGAUAACGUACAUUGGCCUCUCAGUUGGAAAAAAAUGGAUAUAAAGUGGAUAAGUGCACCAUUUUGUAACAAGUUAUAAGGAUUUUAGUUUAGAUUCUUGUCAAUGGAUAGAUCCUAUCCCUGCUUCUGUUUGCAUUACUACUGACCACUGUUGGGAUCAAUAUAACUUCUUGCUUUCUGUCAGAGCAACAUAUUUUAUUUUUUGAGUACUACUGAAGGGUUAAAUCA
Nicotiana attenuata is the source of this 1716-nucleotide long non-coding RNA. RefSeq lists it as uncharacterized. The transcript is spliced from 9 exons. Lineage: Eukaryota; Viridiplantae; Streptophyta; Magnoliopsida; Solanales; Solanaceae. The record is from RefSeq and is a predicted model, not a curated record.